CUUUCAUUUGCAUAAAUUUUGAUAUAAAAAUACUUAAUGCUUAAUUUAAAGCCAUGCCUAUUACAUAAUACAAUCUCACUUUGUUUUCG
Long non-coding RNA from Sinocyclocheilus rhinocerous, 89 nucleotides. RefSeq lists it as uncharacterized. The record is from RefSeq and is a predicted model, not a curated record. The transcript has 3 exons. NCBI's taxonomy places the organism in Eukaryota, Metazoa, Chordata, Actinopteri, Cypriniformes, Cyprinidae.